GGUGCAGGCUGGUUUGUCGCUGUUCUUGAUGUUCGCAUCAGGAAAAGAGGAAAGUCCGGGCAACAUAGAGUACCAUACUUCCUAACGGGAAGGUGUUUUGGUAGGAAUACCAAAAUAACAGACAGUGCCACAGAAAAUAAACCGCCCCUGCAGGUCUAACCAAAUGGGGUAAGGGUGAAAAGGUAGGGUAAGAGCCUACCGGGUACCGGGCGACCGGUAUUGCAGGGUAAACCUUAUGGGUUGAAAGACCAAAUAGGCUCCGGUCAUUGGGCUACUCGUCCAAAUCUUUCAAGAUAGCCGGAGUGGGUAGGUCGUUGGACCUUUUCUGUGAAGAAAAGGCUAGAUAAAUGGCAAACACUUUGUGAGAAGUUACAGAACCCGGCUUAUAAGCCUGCACUUUUU
Non-coding RNA from Cyclobacterium marinum DSM 745, 402 nucleotides. It matches the Rfam family "Bacterial RNase P class A". From Rfam's summary of the family: Ribonuclease P (RNase P) is a ubiquitous endoribonuclease, found in archaea, bacteria and eukarya as well as chloroplasts and mitochondria. The record is from Rfam. Lineage: Bacteria; Pseudomonadati; Bacteroidota; Cytophagia; Cytophagales; Cyclobacteriaceae.